RNAcentral lists this long non-coding RNA (453 nucleotides) under Vulpes vulpes (red fox). RNAcentral describes it as "lncRNA (ENSVVUG00000005354.1)". Lineage: Eukaryota; Metazoa; Chordata; Mammalia; Carnivora; Canidae. The record is from RNAcentral.
CGGCUCUGGCAUCCAAAGAUCCUACCAUUGACAGUGGCACUUCCAGAUUGAAGGCAAGAAGAGCAUUCCUGCUAGAAAACCUGAAGAAUAUGAAAGAAAGACUCAGCAGGACUCCAUGGAAGAUGGUCACACAUAAGACUAGAUGGCAUUCCUUCUGUUUCACCUUCUAUCUGGCUCUAUUGAGUUCUCGAUGGCAAACGUAGCACAGAACAGAAGAUAUCGUUCACAGAAACGUUCCCCAGGACAGAAGAUAUCCCCCUGUACUCCAGGAUUCUCCAUUCAUUUCUGUGAUCUCUGGAAUUACACAGCAGUCUCAGGCUGAUUAGAGAGUGGUUGGUAGGGCUGACCUAUGGCACACUUGGCAGUGGCUGAUCCUUAAUACAUGUGUUUACAGGCAUAACCAACAUUCAAUAACAAAACCCCACUGAAGCAAUAAAUGUGCAGGUGUUGACA